This 497-nucleotide ribosomal RNA is filed under the name uncultured bacterium. RNAcentral's name for it is "partial 16S ribosomal RNA". It matches the Rfam family "Bacterial small subunit ribosomal RNA", at positions 28 to 507 of the family's 1533-position model. The record is from RNAcentral.
GAUGAACGCUGGCGGCGUGCCUAAUACAUGCAAGUCGAGCGAACAGACGAGGAGCUUGCUCCUCUGACGUUAGCGGCGGACGGGUGAGUAACACGUGGAUAACCUACCUAUAAGACUGGGAUAACUUCGGGAAACCGGAGCUAAUACCGGAUAAUAUAUUGAACCGCAUGGUUCAAUAGUGAAAGACGGUUUUGCUGUCACUUAUAGAUGGAUCCGCGCCGCAUUAGCUAGUUGGUAAGGUAACGGCUUACCAAGGCGACGAUGCGUAGCCGACCUGAGAGGGUGAUAGGCCACACUAGAACUGAGACACGGUCCAGACUCCUACGGGAGGCAGCAGUAGGGAAUCUUCCGCAAUGGGCGAAAGCCUGACGGAGCAACGCCGCGUGAGUGAUGAAGGUCUUCGGAUCGUAAAACUCUGUUAUUAGGGAAGAACAAAUGUGUAAGUAACUAUGCACGUCUUGACGGUACCUGAUCAGAAAGCCACGGCUAACUACGUG